UUAUUUUUGGGUUGGGAUGGGAUGGUAUGGAUAGAGAUAAUGGUCUACACUAGCAGACAUUUCUACAACCAUAUUCGACUCAUCUCUCUUCUCAGAUUCUUUCUUUGUUGGUGUGUCCAUGAACUCACUCUUGUUACCUUCUUUUUCUAGUACUACUACUACUGCUUCUGCUGUUACUUAAACUGCUACAACUUCUGCCUAUUGACCUUUACAAUUCUUCAUGUCUUGCUGCUUGGGUUGCAUAAACUAGAUUUUGAGAGAAGCUGGUGAUAUAACACAUUCACAUGGUUAUGUGUUCUCGAUUUUAUGUUCUUUUUCUUGUUUGAUUUUGGGAAUUUGUGGACUCCUAUAGACUAGAUUUUUCCUGUCAGAGAUUUCUGAUUUAAUAACUGAAGUUCAAAUCUUUGUUGGUCCAUUUGGUGUUCUGGGUUUUGGUUGGUUAGUGGUGGUGGCUAACAGGAUAAAAACAGACUUGUAUUUGGAAUUAGAAACUCAGAAUCUAUGGAUUCUAUGAUUCUUUCUUGUGGGUAUGUGUGAAUUUCUUAUCUUCAAUUUUUGGGUUAUUUCUUGUGCUCAAUCUGAAGUUUUAGCUCCUGUUGGUGGAUAAGAUAGCAUCUUCUCUCAUACCCACUUCUACUUUUCGAUUCCACUUGUUUACAGUGAUUUGGAGUUUGGUGGACUUUGUUCCUCCUUAUUUCUUGUGCCUCCUUUCUUCUUCUAAGUUUGGAUUUUCUUCACGUUGGGUUUUUGCUAGACAGUUUCUGUAGAUUUGAUAGUGGGUCUCUUUCCCUCCUCUCUCUCUCUCUCUCUCUCUCUCUCUCUCUCUCUCUCCUCUUUUCUCUCUCCCCCUUUUAUAUUUUCUACCUGGACUUAGCAGUAAGACCCACUUCAGCUUGGUACUGUUUCUGAGUAGCUUGCGUUGGCUACUGUUUUGGAUGAGUUUACUCCAUGUAUUUGGUUUUGGUUUAAAGGUGGGGCAUCUACUUUGGAUGCUAUGUUGCUGGAUUGUAUCAGUGAUUUCUAUGAACUGGUUCAUUAAUGGUGGAAUUGUGGAGAGCAAGACUGGUUUGCUUGGUGAUGGUGGCAAGAUGUGGCUCAGGUUCUGGGGCAAGAUCUCAGGGAAUAGUUGCAAGAUGCACCAUCACUACUACCAGUAUAUUGGGUCGAAGAGAGUUAGAAAAACAUGGUGGAGAAAGCUCUUGGUGUCAUGGGUAAUUGGCUGGAUCAUGGUCUCUUUAUGGAUCUUAUGGUACAUGAGCUCACAAGCCACCGAGAAGAGGAAAGAGACGCUUGCAAGCAUGUGUGAUGAGAGGGCCAGGAUGCUACAGGAUCAGUUUAAUGUGAGCAUGAACCAUGUACAGGCCAUGUCCAUUUUGAUCUCAACCUUUCACCACGGCAAGAAUCCUUCUGCGAUUGAUCAGAGGACUUUUGCAAGGUACACAGAAAGAACUGCUUUUGAGAGACCCCUCACAAGCGGUGUGGCAUAUGCUGUAAGGGUGCUCCACUCUGAAAGGGAACAAUUUGAGAAGCAACAAGGGUGGACGAUUAAGCGGAUGGAUACCCUUGAACAAAAUCCAGUUCAUAAAGAUGACUAUACACCAGAAUUAUUGGAGCCAUCCCCAAUUCAGGAAGAAUAUGCCCCUGUCAUCUUUGCGCAGGAUACCAUUUCUCACGUUGUUUCUCUUGAUAUGCUGUCUGGAAAAGAAGACAGUGAAAAUGUGUUGCGUGCUAGAGAAUCAGGAACAGGAGUUCUAACUGCUCCAUUUAGGUUACUCAAAACUAACCGUCUCGGGGUUAUAUUGACCUUUGCCAUCUACAAGAAAGAUCUCCCCUCAAAUGCAACUCCAAAUGAGAGGAUUCAAGCCACUGAUGGGUAUCUUGGAGGAGUCUUUGAUAUUGAAUCACUUGUGGAAAAGUUACUUCAACAACUUGCAAGUAAACAAACUAUCCUAGUGGAUGUGUAUGACACUACUAAUGAAUCUCAUCCCAUCAGCAUGUAUGGCUCAAAUGUAUCGGAUGAUGGGUUGCAACAUGUGAGCUCUCUUAAUUUUGGAGAUCCCCAUAGAAAGCAUGAGAUGCACUGCAGAUUCAAACAAAAACCACCAUGGCCAUGGUUAGCAAUAACAACUUCUUUUGGGGUCCUUGUGAUUGCAUUGCUUAUUGGACAUAUUUUCCAUGCAACUGUGAAUAGAAUUGCCAAAGUUGAAGAUGAUUAUCAUGAAAUGAUGGAGCUUAAAAAACGAGCUGAGGCAGCUGAUAUUGCCAAAUCUCAGUUUCUUGCUACAGUUUCCCAUGAGAUCAGAACUCCAAUGAAUGGUGUUCUAGGAAUGUUACAUAUGCUUAUGGACACGGAUCUAGAUGUAACUCAACAAGAUUAUGUCAAAACUGCACAAGCAAGUGGAAAAGCUCUUGUCUCAUUAAUUAACGAGGUUUUGGAUCAAGCAAAAAUUGAAUCUGGUAAGCUUGAGCUUGAGGAUGUACAGUUCAAUCUACGGGCAAUUUUAGAUGAUGUGUUGUCGCUCUUCUCUGACAAGUCUCAAGGGAAAGGAGUAGAGUUGGCAGUUUACAUCUCUGAUAGUGUUCCUGAAAUGCUAAUUGGUGAUCCAGGGAGAUUCCGGCAAAUCAUAAUCAAUCUCAUGGGAAAUUCAAUAAAGUUCACUCAUCAAGGGCACAUAUUUGUCACUGUCCAUCUUGUGGAGGAGGUGAUCGAGUCCAUAGAUGUAGAGACAGAAUCGUCAUCAAGGAACACCUUGAGUGGUUUACCUGUUGCAGAUAGACGCCGCAGCUGGGCAGGAUUUAGGACUUUCAGUCAAGAGGGGUCUAGUCGUACUCUGUUGUCUACCUCGUCUGACCUGAUUAAUCUAAUAAUUUCUGUUGAGGAUACAGGAGAAGGGAUCCCUCUGGAAGCCCAGUCUCGCAUUUUCACUCCUUUUAUGCAGGUUGGUCCAUCCACUUCCCGAAAAUAUGGAGGCACAGGGAUUGGCCUAAGUAUAAGCAAGUGUUUGGUUGGCCUCAUGAAUGGAGAAAUUGGUUUUGUAAGCAUUCCCAAGAUUGGGACCACCUUUACAUUUACUGCUGUUUUUGCCAAUGGCUGCUCUGAUUCAAAUGAGUACAAUAGUUACAAAAUCAGCAACCAGUCUAAUGCUAUCACUUCAGAAUUUCGUGGCAUGACAGCAUUAGUUGUGGAUCCAAGGUCUGUUAGAGCCAAGGUUUCAAGAUAUCAUAUCCAGAGGCUUGGAAUUCAUGUUGAAGUGGUUUCUGAUUUAAAUCAAGCUUUAUGUAGCACAAGCAAUGGGAAUGCAGUUGUCAAUAUGGUUCUUAUUGAACAAGAAGUUUGGGAUAGAGAUUCAAGUGUUUCGGCUCAAUUUGUUAAUAAUAUAAAGAAAAUUGAUGGUGGUGUUUCUCUAAAGCUAUUCCUCCUGGCUAAUUCUAUCAGCUCUUCCAGAACAAAUGAUGCAUCUUCUGGUGUUUAUACCCCAAGUGUCAUCAUGAAGCCCCUGAGGGCAAGCAUGCUGGCUGCAUCUUUACAACGAGCAAUGGGUGUUGGGAAUAAGGGGAAUCCACGCAAUGGGGAACUCGGCAACCUUCUUCUUGGAAGAAAAAUUCUUAUUGUAGAUGACAAUGGUGUGAACCUCAAAGUAGCUGCUGGUGCUUUGAAAAAGUAUGGAGCUGAUGUGGUCUGUGCAGAGAGUGGGGAAAAGGCGAUCAAAUUGCUUACCCCACCCCACCAGUUUGAUGCCUGUUUUAUGGACAUCCAGAUGCCAGAAAUGGAUGGGUUUGAAGCUACCAAAAGAAUUCGUGACAAAGAAUGCAGUUUCAAAAGUACCAUUCAAAAUGGAGAUGCUUCAGUUGGAGCCUAUGAAAAUCUUCCUAAUUGGCAUGUUCCGAUAUUAGCAAUGACUGCAGAUGUAAUCCAAGCUACACACGAGGAAUGCUUGAAGUGUGGAAUGGACGGAUAUGUUUCUAAACCAUUUGAAGCCGAACAACUGUAUAGAGAGGUUUCACGAUUUUUCCAGUCAACUUCCACUGUGAUUUUAUAGAGGGGGAGGACUUCUGUUGAUAACGUGCUCGUGAUACGAGCACAAACACUGUUCUUUAGGAUCUGUUGGUUACUUGAAUGGUUUAAGAGUUUCUUCCAAGAGAAAAACAUUUGUUUUGUUGCAGAGAGUGUAUAUAGAAGCCAUGAUUGAUUGGGCUUAAGUUUCAUUGAUUGUUUUGUGAACCACAUGAUGAAGCUGGUUCAAUUUUCCUUGUAAAGUUGAUCAAAUUUGCUAGUUGUUCAUUAGAGUUGGCCAUGUGAGACUUUGUGCAGAGGCAAAGCUAUUAGAGUAGGACAUUGAAUUUGAUACUCUGAUACCAAUUUCAAAUGGAUGGAGAAAUCCAAUUAUCUGAGUUGGAUCACAGAAGCUAUGGAAUUACAGAGUCUUCUUGUAGAAAUAAAUUGGUGGUGAUCUGAAAGUAUCUCUCUUUCUUUGAGGAAUUGUAGAGUAGGGACAGUAGAUUCAUGUGAAAGGAUGAAAGAUUAGCUUCUGGGCAAAGUUGGAGAGAAACACAUCAUGUAUAUUUACCUCAUUAAUAAGAUGUUGAUGUACUCAAUUACUCUCUUGUUUUCUUCUUCAUUUUGCUUCUAACAAUGCCAACAGUUUGUUGUACCAAGAAUUGAUGCAACUUAUAUAAUGACAGUGUACCAUAUCUCAUUGUUCUUCUCUGAUUUUAA
RNA transcript from Manihot esculenta (cassava), 4717 nucleotides. It is a transcript of the gene named histidine kinase 3, with no coding region annotated. Lineage: Eukaryota; Viridiplantae; Streptophyta; Magnoliopsida; Malpighiales; Euphorbiaceae. The record is from RefSeq and is a predicted model, not a curated record. The transcript is spliced from 11 exons.